This 68-nucleotide transfer RNA is filed under the name Felis catus (domestic cat). It matches the Rfam family "tRNA", at positions 8 to 63 of the family's 71-position model. Rfam says of the family: Transfer RNA (tRNA) molecules are approximately 80 nucleotides in length. Their secondary structure includes four short double-helical elements and three loops (D, anti-codon, and T loops). The record is from Rfam by way of RNAcentral. Lineage: Eukaryota; Metazoa; Chordata; Mammalia; Carnivora; Felidae.
UGGCUCAGGCGGUUGAGCGCCUGACUUUGGCUCAGGUCAUGAUCUCAGUUUGUGGGUUCGAGCCCCAC